UGCUGACAUAAGUAACGAUAAUGCGGGUGAANNACCCGCACGCCGGAAGACCAAGGGUUCCUGUCCAACGUUAAUCGGGGCAGGGUGAGUCGACCCCUAAGGCGAGGCCGAAAGGCGUAGUCGAUGGGAAACAGGUUAAUAUUCCUGUACUUGGUGUUACUGCGAAGGGGGGACGGAGAAGGCUAGGUUAUCCGGGCGACGGUUGUCCCGGUUUAAGCGUGUAGGUGGAUGUUUUUGGUAAAUCCGGAACAUCGUUAACACUGAGGCGUGAUGACGAGUCACUACGGUGAUGAAGUGACCGAUGCCAAGCUUCCAGGAAAAGCCUCUAAGCUCCAGGUAACACGAAAUCGUACCCCAAACCGACACAGGUGGUCAGGUAGAGAAUACCAAGGCGCUUGAGAGAACUCGGGUGAAGGAACUAGGCAAAAUGGUGCCGUAACUUCGGGAGAAGGCACGCUGGCGUUGGUGAAGGGACUUGCUCCCGGAGCUGAUACCAGUCGCAGAUACCAGCUGGCUGCAACUGUUUAAUAAAAACACAGCACUGUGCAAACACGAAAGUGGACGUAUACGGUGUGACGCCUGCCCGGUGCCGGAAGGUUAAUUGAUGGGGUCAGCCGCAAGGCGAAGCUCUUGAUCGAAGCCCCGGUAAACGGCGGCCGUAACUAUAACGGUCCUAAGGUAGCGAAAUUCCUUGUCGGGUAAGUUCCGACCUGCACGAAUGGCGUAAUGAUGGCCAGGCUGUCUCCACCCGAGACUCAGUGAAAUUGAACUCGCUGUGAAGAUGCAGUGUACCCGCGGCAAGACGGAAAGACCCCGUGAACCUUUACUAUAGCUUGACACUGAACCUUGAGCCUUGAUGUGUAGGAUAGGUGGGAGGCUUUGAAGUGUGGACGCCAGUCUGCAUGGAGCCAACCUUGAAAUACCACCCUUUAAUGUUUGAUGUUCUAACGUGGGCCCCUAAUCGGGGUUGCGGACAGUGUCUGGUGGGUAGUUUGACUGGGGCGGUCUCCUCCCAAAGAGUAACGGAGGAGCACGAAGGUUAGCUAAUCCUGGUCGGACAUCAGGAGGUUAGUGCAAAGGCAUAAGCUAGCUUGACUGCGAGAGUGACGGCUCGAGCAGGUGCGAAAGCAGGUCUUAGUGAUCCGGUGGUUCUGAAUGGAAGGGCCAUCGCUCAACGGAUAAAAGGUACUCCGGGGAUAACAGGCUGAUACCGCCCAAGAGUUCAUAUCGACGGCGGUGUUUGGCACCUCGAUGUCGGCUCAUCACAUCCUGGGGCUGAAGUAGGUCCCAAGGGUACGGCUGUUCGCCGUUUAAAGUGGUACGCGAGCUGGGUUUAGAACGUCGUGAGACAGUUCGGUCCCUAUCUGCCGUGGGCGUUGGAAGAUUGAGGGGGGUUGCUCCUAGUACGAGAGGACCGGAGUGAACGCACCACUGGUGUUCGGGUUGUGAUGCCAAUCGCAUUGCCCGGUAGCUAAGUGCGGAAGAGAUAACCGCUGAAAGCAUCUAAGCGGGAAACUUGCCCCGAGAUGAGUCUUCCCUGGGACUUCGAGUCCCCUGAAGGGCCGUUGAAGACGACGACGUAGAUAGGCUGGGUGUGUAAGCGUAGCGAUACGUUGAGCUAACCAGUACUAAUGACCCGAGAGGCUUAACCUU
Molecule: ribosomal RNA, 1653 nt
Filed under: Lonsdalea quercina subsp. quercina
Lineage: Bacteria; Pseudomonadati; Pseudomonadota; Gammaproteobacteria; Enterobacterales; Pectobacteriaceae
Description: bacterial LSU rRNA
Rfam family: Bacterial large subunit ribosomal RNA
Source: RNAcentral